CCUACGGGGGGCAGCAGUCGAGAAUCAUUCACAAUGGGGGAAACCCUGAUGGUGCGACGCCGCGUGGGGGAAUGAAGGUCUUCGGAUUGUAAACCCCUGUCAUGUGGGAGCAAAUUAAAAAGAUAGUACCACAAGAGGAAGAGACGGCUAACUCUGUGCCAGCAGCCGCGGUAAUACAGAGGUCUCAAGCGUUGUUCGGAAUCACUGGGCGUAAAGCGAGCGUAGGCUGUUUCGUAAGUCGUGUGUGAAAGGCGCGGGCUCAACCCGCGGACGGCACAUGAUACUGGGAGACUAGAGUAAGGGAGGGGGAACCGGAAUUCUCGGUGUAGCAGUGAAAUGCGUAGAUAUCGAGAGGAACACUAGUGGCGAAGGCGAGUUCCUGGACAUUAACUGACGCUGAGGCACGAAGGCCAGGGGAGCGAAAGGGAUUAGAUACCCUGGUAGUC
Molecule: ribosomal RNA, 446 nt
Filed under: uncultured bacterium
Lineage: Bacteria
Description: partial 16S ribosomal RNA
Rfam family: Bacterial small subunit ribosomal RNA
Source: RNAcentral